UUUCCGUAGGUGAACCUGCGGAAGGAUCAUUAGCGAUUUAACACGGGCGUCGAUGCGCGAGCGUCUUCGCCCCAAACACAAACACCUGUGAACAGACCGACGGUCGUCCCUCGGGGCUUCCGUCGAAUCUUUGCAACUGUCGUACUAUGUCAUGAAAGUGAAAACAAAAGAAAAAUAACGCUCAACGAUGGAGCGCUUGGCUCUCGCAUCGAUGAAGAACGCAGC
RNAcentral lists this unclassified non-coding RNA (225 nucleotides) under uncultured fungus. RNAcentral describes it as "sequence contains ITS1, 5.8S rRNA gene". The stretch from base 177 to 225 matches the Rfam family "5.8S ribosomal RNA", at positions 1 to 49 of the family's 154-position model. Lineage: Eukaryota; Fungi. The record is from RNAcentral.